RNAcentral lists this small RNA (1025 nucleotides) under uncultured Gemmatimonas sp. RNAcentral's name for it is "bacterial SSU rRNA". The stretch from base 1 to 472 matches the Rfam family "Bacterial small subunit ribosomal RNA", at positions 1064 to 1533 of the family's 1533-position model. Lineage: Bacteria; Pseudomonadati; Gemmatimonadota; Gemmatimonadia; Gemmatimonadales; Gemmatimonadaceae. The record is from RNAcentral.
GUCGUGAGAUGUUGGGUUAAGUCCCGCAACGAGCGCAACCCCUGUUCUUAGUUACCAGCGCGUAAUGGCGGGGACUCUAGGAAGACUGCCGGUGCCAAACCGGAGGAAGGUGGGGACGACGUCAAGUCAUCAUGGUCCUUACGUCUAGGGCUACACACGUGCUACAAUGGGUCGGACAGUGGGGGCCGAGGCAGCAAUGCCAGGGCAAUCCCAAAACCGAUCCUCAGUUCGGAUUGUCGUCUGCAACUCGACGGCAUGAAGCUGGAAUCGCUAGUAAUCGUGGAUCAGCAUCGCCACGGUGAAUACGUUCCCGGGCCUUGUACACACCGCCCGUCACGCCAUGGAAGCUGCGAGCGCCCGAAGUCGGUGCCGGAACCCUUACGGGGCCAAGCCGCCGAAGGCGAGCGUAGUGACUGGGGCGAAGUCGUAACAAGGUAGCCGUAGGGGAACCUGCGGCUGGAUCACCUCCUUAACGGAGCUGCGAGUAAGGCAGAACAAGCCUGGGCAACCAGGAGUUACUUUGCCGGAAAGCACUCACGUGUCGCUCGUCUCGCAACAUCCAGAUCUCAAUCUCGAUUUCCAUAUAAAGAGCCCGAAGCACUCCGCGGCAACGCGGGUGAUCCGGGCUCGAAAGAACAAGAGGGACUUGAAGCUAAGUCCUUAAGCACCAAGCGACAGAGCGCUUAUAUCUCGAAAGCUUUUUGACAAUGGAAGGUAGUAGUGAUCGUGGGAUUUGAGCACCUGGACCUGAUAAGAUUCGGGUGCUGAGAAUCAACACUAGUGACACAAUUUCAUGAAAGCUCUGACCUAACGGUUGGGGCUCGAUUUGUCUCAAAGAGCUUAACCGCUCCGAGAGUCCAAAGAUUGUAUCACUCGUUAGAUCGUGCGUGUUUCUGUUUGAACAAGUUAUUUGAUCAAGCGAAAGAAAGUAUGUGGGGGAUGCCUAGGUACACAGAGGCGAUGAAGGCCGUGGUAAGCUGCGAUAAGCCAGGGGGGGCUGCACACAAGCUAUGAGCCCUGGAUGG